CCUUACUGUAUUAUGUUUCUGCCCCAGUGAAAAGAGUAUUUGGUUGUUACCACCAUGAAGCUUUGACACUUUGACCUUGUGGCUCAUAUAUUCUAUAAUAUAAUAUGAGCGAUCGGAAACAGUGGAAGUGUGGACAAACAUAUUUUUUAUAUAUGUUAAAAUCUUGAAGUCUCUAGGGAACGUUUGGUUUUGGAAGUUGAGUUUGGCAGAUCAGGAAAUGGUCACGUAAGUAACUGGAACUGCCAUGUACUUUACGUCAUUUUUUUUAGCAUUGAUACUUGACCUACUCUUAGAUGUGUACUUGUUAGAAGGGAAAGUUACAGCCCAUGUGACUAUAUCUGAUAGCAACAACCACAAUAUCUCUUGUCUCACCAAGACCUGCUACUCAAAACUAGUCCUGUUUAAUUUUUCAAAACGGUAACAGGCUUCUUAGUAACAAUAAUUCAACAAUUUACAAUGUAACAACAUUAUGAGUUAACGCUUAAGUUGUCUGUGAGAUUCUCUACCUAUAGGCUACUCUACCUGAACGUUACCAUGUAAAUGCUAACACCUUAUCUGAUGGAAUGUGUUAUUAAGAGUUCACGGAGGAAACGUCACAUAGCCGUGAACCAACUGAAAAAAACCACAGAAAAAAAUGUUCCACCUGAUUGGCCAAUGACAGGUUAAACUUCCUUUAAUGAAAAAGUCUGCAUGAUAUCUGUGUGUACGAACAGCUUCACUGUCUUUUAUCUGCCGGUCAUCGUCACACAUGGAUGGGUUGCAAAUUCUUACAGUCGUUCUCUUAGGAGUUGUUUCUUACAGUCAUGGUUGGAUUUCUGGACCAGUGUUGGAGGUGACAGUCAGACCAGGAGACAACAUCACUCUCUACUGUGACUGCAAAUUAUCAAGUGGAGUAUACAUAGUGUGGUACAGAAACUGCUCUCAUGAGAACCAGCCUUCUCUUGUCCUUGAAUCAAAACUUGAAUUAUAUGUGUUAACCGUUCUCCCUGGUUUUCAAUUUGUGAGAAACCAUUCCUCUGCCUCCUAUGACUUGUUGAUCAUGAACGUCACUGAUGCAGAUGAGGGUCUCUACUACUGUGGAACUAAACAGAUCAAGGUGGAGGACAAAGAAUUCAUCACUCCCAGAUAUGAUUACAGAUAUGGCAACGUCACAACAAGGAUCGGGAUCAUAGUCAACUCCAGCGAGCCUCAUCACACGGAGACUCCACAAGACUGUAGUGUGUGCUGGAUGCUGCUGUUCUCUCUGUGUCCAGCUUUUGCUGUCCUCUCCUCUCUCCUCUCCUCACUCGUGGUUUAUCACAUCUGUCAGAAAAAAGCUAAAGAACGUCAAGUUGAUCAACAAAAACCUGAAACUAGAGGUCAAACAAGACUGAAUCAGGAUGAAGAUGUGUGUUAUGCCGCACUGGAUAUCCGUCAACCAUCACAAAGACCAAAGAAGAAGAAAACGAAAGAAGAAGACUUCAGCAUGUAUUCUGCCAUCAAGACUUCUAGGAUGUAG
Molecule: long non-coding RNA, 1498 nt
Filed under: Dicentrarchus labrax (European seabass)
Lineage: Eukaryota; Metazoa; Chordata; Actinopteri; Moronidae
Description: lncRNA (ENSDLAG00005029010.1)
Source: RNAcentral